Molecule: transfer RNA, 84 nt
Filed under: Actinomycetota bacterium
Lineage: Bacteria; Bacillati; Actinomycetota
Also listed under: 1 other name
Description: tRNA-Leu
Rfam family: tRNA
About the family: Transfer RNA (tRNA) molecules are approximately 80 nucleotides in length. Their secondary structure includes four short double-helical elements and three loops (D, anti-codon, and T loops).
Source: RNAcentral
GCCGAAGUGGCGGAACUGGCAGACGCGCCGGACUCAAAAUCCGGUGGGGGAAACCCCGUGUGGGUUCAAGUCCCACCUUCGGCA